Molecule: unclassified non-coding RNA, 253 nt
Filed under: uncultured Rickettsiales bacterium
Lineage: Bacteria; Pseudomonadati; Pseudomonadota; Alphaproteobacteria; Rickettsiales
Description: contains 16S-23S intergenic spacer region
Rfam family: Bacterial small subunit ribosomal RNA
Source: RNAcentral
UACGAAGGGGGCUAGCGUUGUUCGGAAUCACUGGGCGUAAAGCGCGCGUAGGCGGCUAUACAAGCCAGGGGUGAAAUCCCAGAGCUCAACUCUGGAACUGCCUUUGGAACUGUAUAGCUGGAGUCUCGGAGGGGAUGGCGGAAUUCCUAGUGUAGGGGUGAAAUCCGUAGAUACUAGGAGGAACACCGGAGGCGAAGGCGGCCAUCUGGACGAGUACUGACGCUGAGGCGCGAAAGCAUGGGGAGCAAACAGG